This 507-nucleotide long non-coding RNA is filed under the name Amborella trichopoda. Its description in RNAcentral is "long non-coding RNA (ATRI_LNC000241)". Lineage: Eukaryota; Viridiplantae; Streptophyta; Magnoliopsida; Amborellales; Amborellaceae. The record is from RNAcentral.
ACUCUCCAGAAUACUCUCCCUCUUCUCCUCAAUACUUUCCCUCUUCUCCCAACUCUCCAGAAUACUUUUCCUCUUCUCCCAACUCUCCAGAAUACUUUCCCUCUUCUCCCCAAUACUCUCCCUCUUCCCCAACCUCUCCACAAUACUCUCCCUCUUCCCCUUCUACUUCUCACUGUCCCUAUUCCCCAAACUCUCCACAGUACUCUCCCUCUUCCCCUUCUACUUCUCACUGUCCCUCUUCCCCUCCUUCUCCCCAGUACUCUCUUUCUCCUAACUCUUCAGAAUACUCUCCCUCUUUUCCCCAAUACUCUACCUCUUCCCCCAACUCUCCAGAAUACUCUCCCUCUUCUCCCCAAUACUUUCCCUAUUUUCCCCAAUACUCUCCCUCUUCCCCCAACUCUCCAAAAUACUCUCCCUCUUCUCCCCAAUACUUUCCCUCUUCUCCCCAAUACUCUCCCUCUUCCCCAACUCUCCAGAAUACUCUCCCUCUUUUCUCCAAUACUCUCC